CCUGAUCCCGCUGGCCCCGAGCGAGGCUCCACAGGCCGGCACACAGGUCCGAUGUGGUACGGUGGAAGCAGGAAGUGGCCACCGAAGUUGUGACCAACAAAGUUUUAAAUGGGGCGAGGAACUUCCCUUUUCAUCCUUCCAGCCGCUGGCUCUGGAGGCUGGGCUGGAACACCCAGUGGCCUCCACUUUGGGUGGCAGGUACCUCCUCCAGGCCUGCCUCCCUCGGGGCUGAAGCUUGAAAGCCCCAGAGCAGCACCAGGCCCAUACCCAGAGACAUAGGCGGGGACCCUCAGAGGGGCCACCUGGUGCACACGCUCCUGUAUGUGUGACCUGGGAGGGGGAUAUGGCUUCCUCCACCAAGCCGGCCAUAUGCAGAAUCCAAACAAAACCCGGGCUCCCGAGUUCCGGACAGGCACACGGUGCAGCCAGCGCGGGGAGAGCUCGGCAGGCCGCAGCGGCUCGGACGCGCGGGGGCGGGCAGGCUGACAGGUCCGAGGCGCGCCAGCACUCCGGGUGCGCGGGGUGAGGCCGGCCCGUUCGCCCUAAAUGCUCCAGCUUAGGCCUCUCCUGCACUUGCCCCAGUUCCCUGCCACUCCUGCACCUCUGUCCCCCAAACUCCCAGGGCGGACACAGUUUCCGUGUCCACUGUGCCGUGCACACUGGAAAGAAAAGGGGAAGGGGCUCCCAUGCCAAGUUCCUGCAUUUCGGGAGCCCCUCCUCGAGUCUCCGGGCCUGGACUCAGUCACGCAAGCCGGUCGCUGCGGACACCACGCUUCGCUCAAACGGAGGAAGAGCAGCCGUAUUCCCGAGCCGCCGCCACCGCGGGCCUGGCUGGUUGGGAGGGUUUUCCUGCCGGGGCCGCGCCCGGGUGGGCGGGGGCCGCGCGCGAGCUGCGUAGUUGCACAAACACGGCGGGCUGGCGCUGCACACGCAGCUGCGGGCUGGGGUCGCGGGCCGCGGCGGGGCGGAUUGCGGGGCGGCAAACUCACGCAAACCCGCACACACUCCCCCAGCCGCCCAGGCCGCAGAAGUUGCCGCGCGGCGCCCCCAGCCGCCCAGCGCCCCCGCUCCGGGCCGCGCCUGCAAAGCUGCAGCCCGCGCGCCGAGCCGCCACCGCUUGCGCGCAGUCCGGGGUCCCCUGGCCGCCGCCGCCACAGCGGGCUGCGCCUCGCCGCGUGCAGGCCUCGGCCGCCGACCAGGCAGCCCCACUUACCCCGCUCCUGCCCGAGCUCUGGCAUCGGCUGUCCCCCUUCCGCUGUGGGCCGCCGCCUUCAGUCGCCUCCCAGACUCCAGCCGCCUGCACGCACUCCUCGAUUUUAAAAACAAACAGGCGCCGCCGCCGCCUCCCCGCGGCGCUCGCAAUGCUUCCGCCAGCCUGCGCCUCCCGAGGCUGGGAAGUUUGCUGGCAGGGCCCGGGAGGGACGCGCGGGCUGUCACCCCUCACUCGCGGUGCAGGAGCCUCGGCGCACCCCGCGCCAGUGGUGUCCGCCUCGCGAUCGCUCUCCCUCCCUUCGUGUCACCCCCAGUCCUGCGAUGCAGUGUCAGGAUUGCACUGCUCUGACUCAUCGGUUGAGCUCACAGCUUGAAAAAAAAAGAGGGAGAGAGAGAGAGGGCGAGAGGCAACAGCGAAGGAGGAGGACUCUGGCGUGCUACAAAGGAUUGCACAACUCGGGGCUGGGAGCGCGGAGCACCCAGUGGCGGGCCGGCGCGCGCGGCACGGCGGCGAGCAGAAACCAGCUCUACCACUUCAUCAGCACAACUGUCUCGGGUCGGCCUCUCCGCCAGCAGGCCCGGCGCCGCCCACUUCCUGCGACCAAAUAAGGCCGGGGAAGGCGUCUUUAAACCUCCGGCGGCUGCCCGGGCUGGGGAUUUCCAGUAGACCUCACCUCCACUCCUUGAGGCGGUCGCCACCCUCCCCCAGCCCAGGCCGGCGCCCCCGAUGGCCUUGCUGGAACCAACAGGCCACGCGGCUCGUUCCUUUCACACCAAGGUCAGGAAGAGACGGUGACGAAAUGUUUGGAAACCCAUCGUGCCUGCCAGGAAAGUGUGUGUGUGAUGUUGGGGAGGACACAAGUCGCUUUCUUCCAUAAAGAAAACUCUGGUUUUGGAUACGAUGGGUCAAAGAGAUUUUCCUUUGACGGAAAAACCCCAGAAGAAUACAGUGUGUCCUGGCAGCCCCUUUCCUGCUGUGGCCAGUCCUGAGAAGCAGGUGCAUCCCCUGCUUUCUUAGGGAGAAGGGGAGGGGCAGCAGAAGGUGAUUCUCCCAGCUCUCUGAGCCUUCAGGGCAAGGACCGCUGCCCCUGGGGAGUGGAUGAGAGAGACCACCUCAAAACCUCGGAAAACUCACCCUUGCUCCUAAGGGGCAUGACCUUCCUGUUCCCUUCCACCCGGAGCACCUGUGUGCAUCUGGAGGUCACACUUCACCCAGG
This 2429-nucleotide long non-coding RNA is filed under the name Equus asinus (donkey). RNAcentral's name for it is "lncRNA (ENSEASG00005037936.1)". The record is from RNAcentral. Lineage: Eukaryota; Metazoa; Chordata; Mammalia; Perissodactyla; Equidae.